Molecule: unclassified non-coding RNA, 346 nt
Filed under: soil metagenome
Description: partial contains 5.8S ribosomal RNA, internal transcribed spacer 2, and large subunit ribosomal RNA
Rfam family: 5.8S ribosomal RNA (bases 1-120)
Source: RNAcentral
GAUGAAGAACGUAGCGAAAUGCGAUAAGUAAUGUGAAUUGCAGAAUUCAGUGAAUCAUCGAAUCUUUGAACGCACAUUGCGCCCGCCAGUAUUCUGGCGGGCAUGCCUGUCUGAGCGUCAUUUCAACCCUCAUGCCCCUAGGGCGUGGUGUUGGGGAUCGGCCAAAGCCCGCGAGGGACGGCCGGCCCCUAAAUCUAGUGGCGGACCCGUCGUGGCCUCCUCUGCGAAGUAGUGAUAUUCCGCAUCGGAGAGCGAUGAGCCCCUGCCGUUAAACCCCCAACUUUCCAAGGUUGACCUCAGAUCAGGUAGGAAUACCCGCUGAACUUAAGCAUAUAAUAGCGGAGGA